GGGGGGGGCGGGGGGGGGGGGGGGGGGGGGGAGGGCGGACGAGAGCUUCGGGUCUAGGGGCGCACGGGGGCGUAACGCGUGGGAACCUGCCCUGAGGUUCGGAAUCACUCCCCGAAAGGGGUGCUACUACCGGGUAAUGUCUGCGGACCAAAGAUUUAUCGCCUUUGGAUGGGCCCGCGUUGGAUUAGCUAUGUGGUAGGGUAAAAGCCUACCAAGGCGACGAUCCCUAGCUGGUCUGAGAGGAUGAUCAGCCACACUGGGACUGAGACACGGCCCAGACUCCUACGGGAGGCAGCAGUGGGGAAUAUUGGAAAAUGGGCGAAAGCCUGAUCCAGCAAUGCCGCGUGAGUGAGGAAGGCCUUAGGGUUGUAAAGCUCUUUUACCCGGGAUGAUAAUGACAGUACCGGGAGAAUAAGCUCCGGCUAACUCCGUG
RNAcentral lists this ribosomal RNA (433 nucleotides) under uncultured bacterium. Its description in RNAcentral is "partial 16S ribosomal RNA". It matches the Rfam family "Bacterial small subunit ribosomal RNA", at positions 38 to 507 of the family's 1533-position model. The record is from RNAcentral.